RNAcentral lists this ribosomal RNA (1811 nucleotides) under human gut metagenome. RNAcentral's name for it is "bacterial LSU rRNA". It matches the Rfam family "Bacterial large subunit ribosomal RNA", at positions 1098 to 2925 of the family's 2925-position model. The record is from RNAcentral.
AGGUUGGCUCAGAAGCAGCCAUCCUUUAAAGAGUGCGUAACAGCUCACUAGUCGAGUGACCCUGCGCCGAAAAUGUACCGGGGCUAAGCCUGAUACCGAAACUGCGGAUUGUAGGAAACUAUAGUGGUAGGGGAGCGUUGUAUACGAGCAGAAGCCGUACCGUGAGGAGCGGUGGAUUGUAUAGAAGUGAGAAUGCCGGUGUGAGUAGCGAGAUGUAGGUGAGAAUCCUACACACCGAAAGCCCAAGGAUUCCAGGGGAAGGUUCGUCCGCCCUGGGUAAGUCGGGACCUAACGCGAGGCCGAAAGGCGUAGUGGAUGGAAAGCAGGCGAAAGAUUCCUGCACCCGUAUAUGGAGCGAAGGAGUGACGGAGACGGAUAGUGUGACCCUCUUAAUGGAUUGAGGGCGAAGCGAAGCGGCUGGUUACCAGGCAAAUCCGGUAACCAAAAGGCUAGAGCGUGACAGGUAAGCGAAAUCUUAGGAAAGUAGCGAAGCACAUGAUGACGGCUUCCAGGAAAAGCUUCUGGCAAUGCAUAUGCGGCCCGUACCAAAACCGACACAGGUGGGCAGGGAGAGAAUCCCGAGGUGAGCGAGAGAACUGUUGCCAAGGAACUCGGCAAAAUGACUCCGUAAGUUAGCGAGAAGGAGUGCUUAAGCAAUUAAGCCGCAGUGAAGAGGCCCAAGCGACUGUUUAACUAAAACACAGCUCUCUGCGAAGUCGCAAGACGAAGUAUAGGGGGUGACACCUGCCCGGUGCUGGAAGGUUAAGAGGAUCUGUUAAGAGCGAUCUGAAGCAGUGAUCCGAAGCCCCAGUGAACGGCGGCCGUAACUAUAACGGUCCUAAGGUAGCGAAAUUCCUUGUCAGGUAAGUUCUGACCCGCACGAAAGGUGUAACGAUUUGGGCGCUGUCUCGGCAGCAGACUCGGUGAAAUCUUAGUACCUGUGAAAAUGCAGGUUACCCGCAACUAGACGGAAAGACCCCAUGGAGCUUUACUGCAGCCUGAUAUUGAAUUCUGGUCAUACAUGUACAGGAUAGGUGGGAGACAAAGAGACGUGCACGCCAGUGUACGAGGAGUCGACGUUGGGAUACCACUCUUGUGUGACCGGGGUUCUAACCUGGUAUCGAGAACAGGUACGGGGAGAGUGUCAGGUGGGCAGUUUGACUGGGGCGGUCGCCUCCCAAAGAGUAACGGAGGCGCCCAAAGGUACGCUCAGAUUGGAUGGAAACCAAUCGUCGAGUGCAAUUGCAGAAGCGUGCUUGACUGUGAGACAAACAAGUCGAACAGGGACGAAAGUCGGGAAUAGUGAUCCGGCGGUGCCGAAUGGAAGGGCCGUCGCUCAACGGAUAAAAGCUACCCUGGGGAUAACAGGCUGAUCUCCCCCAAGAGUCCACAUCGACGGGGAGGUUUGGCACCUCGAUGUCGGCUCAUCGCAUCCUGGGGCUGAAGUAGGUCCCAAGGGUUGGGCUGUUCGCCCAUUAAAGCGGUACGCGAGCUGGGUUCAGAACGUCGUGAGACAGUUCGGUCCCUAUCUGUUGUGGGCGAAGGAGAUCUGCGGAGAGCUGUCCUCAGUACGAGAGGACCGGGAUGGACCUACCGCUGGUGCACCGGUUGUUCCGCCAGGGGCAUAGCCGGGUAGCUAAGUAGGGAAAGGAUAAGCGCUGAAAGCAUCUAAGCACGAAGCCUACUCCAAGAUGAGAUCUCCCAUUCGCAAGAAGUAAGACCCCUUAAAGACGAUAAGGUAGAUAGGCCAGGGAUGGAAGUGCAGUGAUGUACGGAGUUGACUGGUACUAAUCGGUCGAGGACUUAAUCAG